UCCGGCUUAGCACCGGCAGUCCCAUUAGAGUUCCCAACUAAAUGAUGGCAACUAAAGACGAGGGUUGCGCUCGUUGCGGGACUUAACCCAACAUCUCGCGACACGAGCUGACGACAGCCAUGCAGCACCUGUGCUGGUGUUCCGAAGAAGGGCCCAACUUUCGUCAGGCUUUCACCAGCAUGUCAAACCUAGGUAAGGUUCUUCGCGUUGCUUCGAAUUAAACCACAUGCUCCGCUGCUUGUGCGGGCCCCCGUCAAUUCCUUUGAGUUUUAGCCUUGCGGCCGUACUCCCCAGGCGGGGCACUUAAUGCGUUAGCUUCGGCACGGGGGGAGUCGACACCCCCCACACCUAGUGCCCAUCGUUUACGGCGUGGACUAC
RNAcentral lists this unclassified non-coding RNA (378 nucleotides) under uncultured bacterium. RNAcentral describes it as "contains 16S-23S intergenic spacer region". The record is from RNAcentral.